CAGCAGCCACGGUAAUACGUAGGUCCCGAGCGUUGUCCGGAUUUAUUGGGCGUAAAGGGAGCGCAGGCGGUUUAGUAAGUCUGAAGUUAAAGGCAUUGGCUCAACCAAUGUAUGCUUUGGAAACUGUUAGACUUGAGUGCAGAAGGGGAGAGUGGAAUUCCAUGUGUAGCGGUGAAAUGCGUAGAUAUAUGGAGGAACACCGGUGGCGAAAGCGGCUCUCUGGUCUGUCACUGACGCUGAGGCUCGAAAGCGUGGGUAGCGAACAGGAUUAGAUACCCCGGUAGUCCCUGUCUCUUAUACA
RNAcentral lists this ribosomal RNA (301 nucleotides) under uncultured bacterium. RNAcentral's name for it is "partial 16S ribosomal RNA". It matches the Rfam family "Bacterial small subunit ribosomal RNA", at positions 509 to 808 of the family's 1533-position model. The record is from RNAcentral.